RNAcentral lists this transfer RNA (77 nucleotides) under Calothrix brevissima NIES-22. RNAcentral's name for it is "tRNA-Asp". It matches the Rfam family "tRNA". Rfam says of the family: Transfer RNA (tRNA) molecules are approximately 80 nucleotides in length. Their secondary structure includes four short double-helical elements and three loops (D, anti-codon, and T loops). Lineage: Bacteria; Bacillati; Cyanobacteriota; Cyanophyceae; Nostocales; Calotrichaceae. The record is from RNAcentral.
GGGGGUGUAACUCAGUCGGUUAAGAGUGCCUAUCUGUCGAAUAGGAAGUCGCGAGUUCAAGUCUCGUCAUCCCCGCC